UAAAGAGCAAUGACGGAACUUAGUAGGAUUAUUAGGUGUAAGCAGAGAGUGGAUAGUUGGUGAGAAUCCACUGCACUAUAGUCUGAAUCUACUCCCGAGCUUCUAGUUUGAAAUAGUACUAGACGUAGGACCUGCGAUAAGGGUUUGAGAGUCCGGAUUUAUCCGGGAACUUGGGUGGUAACGCGGAAUUUUGACUUUCGUCCCUAUU
This 208-nucleotide non-coding RNA is filed under the name Peptostreptococcus anaerobius. RNAcentral's name for it is "T-box sequence". It matches the Rfam family "T-box leader". From Rfam's summary of the family: Uncharged tRNA acts as the effector for transcription antitermination of genes in the T-box leader family. T-boxes are found upstream of many aminoacyl-tRNA synthetase genes and some amino acid biosynthetic genes usually in Gram-positive bacteria. The record is from RNAcentral. Lineage: Bacteria; Bacillati; Bacillota; Clostridia; Peptostreptococcales; Peptostreptococcaceae.